GCGUAUAUUAAAGUUGUUGCAGUUAAAAAGCUCGUAGUCGGAUUUCGGGUCGGGCCGAGCGGUCUGCCGAUGGGUAUGCACUGUUCGGCGCGGCCUUCUUUCCGGAGACCGCGGCUACUCUUAACUGAGCGGGCGUGGGAGACGGAUCGUUUACUUUGAAAAAAUCAGAGUGUUUCAAGCAGGCAGCUCGCUCUUGCAUGGAUUAGCAUGGGAUAAUGAAAUAGGACUCUGGUGCUAUUUUGUUGGUUUCGAACACCGGAGUAAUGAUUAACAGGUACAGUCAGGGGCACUCGUAUUCCGUCGAGAGAGGUGAAAUUCUCAGACCAAUGGAAGACGAACCACUGCGAAAGCAUUUGCCAGGGAUGUUUUCACUGA
RNAcentral lists this ribosomal RNA (375 nucleotides) under uncultured Phaeocystis. Its description in RNAcentral is "SSU rRNA". It matches the Rfam family "Eukaryotic small subunit ribosomal RNA", at positions 597 to 976 of the family's 1831-position model. The record is from RNAcentral. Lineage: Eukaryota; Haptophyta; Phaeocystales; Phaeocystaceae.